Molecule: transfer RNA, 74 nt
Organism: Toxoplasma gondii VEG
Lineage: Eukaryota; Apicomplexa; Conoidasida; Eucoccidiorida; Sarcocystidae
Rfam family: tRNA
About the family: Transfer RNA (tRNA) molecules are approximately 80 nucleotides in length. Their secondary structure includes four short double-helical elements and three loops (D, anti-codon, and T loops). Further hydrogen bonds mediate the characteristic L-shaped molecular structure. tRNAs have two regions of fundamental functional importance: the anti-codon, which is responsible for specific mRNA codon recognition, and the 3' end, to which the tRNAs corresponding amino acid is attached (by aminoacyl-tRNA synthetases). tRNAs cope with the degeneracy of the genetic code in two manners: having more than one tRNA (with a specific anti-codon) for a particular amino acid; and 'wobble' base-pairing, i.e. permitting non-standard base-pairing at the 3rd anti-codon position.
Source: Rfam
AGCGGGGUAGAGCAGGUUGGUAGCUCGUCGGGCUCAUGACCCGAAGGUCAGCGGUUCAAAUCCGCUCCUCGUUU